CUAUAAAUAGGACCUAGCACCAAGCAUUUUUCAUUCAUCAAGCUAAGUUCAGAGGCUGCAAGUUGCUAGGUUAUUGUGAGAGUGUAAACACUUGGGUUGGGGAUUAUAAGCUUGAUCAUCAUAAGCUUAUCAAACACUUUGGGAAGUGAGGUUCGUUAGUAUCUCGGUUGUGGUUAGAUUGGUCUUUCAAGUCUUUGAGGAAAUCUAAGCUCUUGAGCACAUAAGUUUUGGAGUGUUCCAAAAAGUCCCAACUCAGUCCACAUAUCCCGGUAACUUUGGAAAAUAAGCUUUAGAGGCGGUAAGAUUCGUGACGCUUAGAGGAUGUGUGUCGAUGGUGGA
Humulus lupulus (European hop) is the source of this 339-nucleotide long non-coding RNA. RefSeq lists it as uncharacterized. The record is from RefSeq and is a predicted model, not a curated record. NCBI's taxonomy places the organism in Eukaryota, Viridiplantae, Streptophyta, Magnoliopsida, Rosales, Cannabaceae. The transcript has 4 exons.